This 303-nucleotide ribosomal RNA is filed under the name uncultured bacterium. RNAcentral's name for it is "partial 16S ribosomal RNA". It matches the Rfam family "Bacterial small subunit ribosomal RNA", at positions 507 to 807 of the family's 1533-position model. The record is from RNAcentral.
AGCAGUCGCCGCGGUAACACGUAGGGUGCGAGCGUUAAUCGGAAUUACUGGGCGUAAAGCGAGCGCAGACGGUUAUUUAAGCAGGAUGUGAAAUCCCCGGGCUUAACCUGGGAACUGCGUUCUGAACUGGAUAGCUAGAGUGUGUCAGAGGGGGGUAGAAUUCCACGUGUAGCAGUGAAAUGCGUAGAGAUGUGAAGGAAUACCGAUGGCGAAGGCAGCCCCCUGGGAUAACACUGACGUUCAUGCUCGAAAGCGUGGGUAGCAAACAGGAUUAGAUACCCCCGUAGUCCCUGUCUCUUAUAC